CGCAUCUGUGCAUGCAGCAUAUCAAUAAGCGGAGGAAAAGGGCUAUGCGAAGAUUCUUAAAGAUGCUGGAGCUUCAGUGAUCUACCUUCAGUUUGAUGGCUGUAAUGAUGAUAUCUACAUGGCCAUGAGAGGUGAGCCUCUUCUUGAAAAGAAGAAGGAAGCGAUCAUGGAAUGCAGACGUGCAGGAAUACCUGUCACACUGGUACCUACGCUUAGGAUGUUGACGAGACUGUCGAUCUCAUCUAUACAUGACUCUGCGCAUAUCAAUAAGCGGAGGAAAAGAGGGCUAGUACCUACGCUUAGGAUGUUGACGAGACUGUCGAUCUCAUCUAUACAUGACUCUGUGCAUAUCAAUAAGCGGAGGAAAAGAAACUAACAAGGAUUCCCCUAGUAACGGCGAGUGAAGCGGGAAGAGCUCAAAUUUGAAAUCUUAAAGGGUUUCCCUUUACGAAUUGUAGUUUAAAGAAGUGUUUUCUGUUGAGGUUUUGGUAAAAGUUCUUUGGAAUAGGACAUCAUAGAGGGUGAGAAUCCCGUAUUUGACCUUUACUUUCAACUUUGUGAUACACUUUCAAAGAGUCGGAUUGUUUGGGAAUGCAGUCCAAAAUGGGUGGUAAAUUUCAUCUAAAGCUAAAUAUUGGCGAGAGACCGAUAGCGAACAAGUACCGUGAGGGAAAGACGAAAAGAACUUUGAAAAGAGAGUUAAACAGUACGUGAAAUUGUCAAAAGGGAAGCGUUUGACACCAGUGUUGUUUUUCUGAAAAUCAAUUAAAGAACUGUUUAUGCUAAGCUGUUUAGACUUUAUCAGCUAUCUGUUUAGUUUUGAGCUUUUCUUUAAUGCACUUUUCAGUUAACAAGUCAACAUCAAUUUCUUUUGCUGUAAAAAAGCUUGAGGAAGGUGGCCUGAGAUUCGUCUUAAGUGUUUAUAGCCUCUUGCCUAUGCAGUCGGAGAGAUUGAGGUCUGCAGCGUAGAUCCUUCGGGGCUAAAUGCAUUUGUGCUAAGUUAUAGCAUUUUAUAGACAACUUGUUGACUAUGAUUUGUCUUGUAGCUUACUCGCUUAUGUUAUUUUACCUACGCUUAGGAUGUUGACGAGACUGUCGAUCUCAUCUAUACAUGACUCUGUGCAUAUCAAUAAGCGGAGGAAAAGAGGGCUAUUACCUACGCUUAGGAUGUUGACGAGACUGUCGAUCUC
Molecule: ribosomal RNA, 1190 nt
Filed under: uncultured Neocallimastigales
Lineage: Eukaryota; Fungi; Neocallimastigomycota; Neocallimastigomycetes; Neocallimastigales
Description: partial large subunit ribosomal RNA
Rfam family: Eukaryotic large subunit ribosomal RNA (bases 321-1190)
Source: RNAcentral